UCCAAUAGCGUAUAUUAAAGUUGCUGCGUUUAAAAAGCUCGUAGUUGGAUCUCGGUUCCAGGCCUGCGGUCCGCCUCGAGGCGGAUACUGCUCGUCCUGUGUUCGACGUCGUGGUGGUCCCUUGGUGCUCUUGACUGAGUGUCUCGGGCGGUCCCGAACGUUUACUUUGAAAAAAUUAGAGUGCUCAAAGCAGGCGUAUCGCCUGAAUAAUUCCGCAUGGAAUAAUGGAAUAGGACCUCGGUUCCAGUUUCGUUGGUUUGCGAAUCCUUGAGGUAAUGAUUAAUAGGGACUGCCGGGGGCAUACGUAUUGCGGCGGGAGAGGUGAAAUUCGUGGAUCGCCGCAAGACGAACGACAGCGAAAGCAUUUGCCAAGAAUGUUCUCAUUAAUCAAGAACGAAAGUCAGAGGUUCGAAGACGAUCAGAUACCGUCGUAGUUCUGACCCUAAACGAUGCCGACCGUCGAUCCGCCGGAGUUACUACCAUGACUCGGCGGGAAGCCUCCGGGAAACCAAAGUCUUUGGGUUCCGGGGGGAGUAUGGUUGCAAAACUGAAACUUAAAGGAAUUGACGGAAG
RNAcentral lists this ribosomal RNA (573 nucleotides) under Macoma environmental sample. Its description in RNAcentral is "SSU rRNA". It matches the Rfam family "Eukaryotic small subunit ribosomal RNA", at positions 590 to 1162 of the family's 1831-position model. Lineage: Eukaryota; Metazoa; Mollusca; Bivalvia; Cardiida; Tellinidae. The record is from RNAcentral.